RNAcentral lists this ribosomal RNA (774 nucleotides) under uncultured bacterium. RNAcentral's name for it is "bacterial SSU rRNA". It matches the Rfam family "Bacterial small subunit ribosomal RNA", at positions 559 to 1331 of the family's 1533-position model. The record is from RNAcentral.
CGUAAAGCGAGUGUAGGUGGCUCAUUAAGUCACAUGUGAAAUCCCCGGGCUUAACCUGGGAACUGCAUGUGAUACUGGUGGUGCUAGAAUAUGUGAGAGGGAAGUAGAAUUCCAGGUGUAGCGGUGAAAUGCGUAGAGAUCUGGAGGAAUACCGAUGGCGAAGGCAGCUUCCUGGCAUAAUAUUGACACUGAGAUUCGAAAGCGUGGGUAGCAAACAGGAUUAGAUACCCUGGUAGUCCACGCCGUAAACGAUGUCUACUAGCCGUUGGGGUCCUUGAGACUUUAGUGGCGCAGUUAACGCGAUAAGUAGACCGCCUGGGGAGUACGGCCGCAAGGUUAAAACUCAAAUGAAUUGACGGGGGCCCGCACAAGCGGUGGAGCAUGUGGUUUAAUUCGAUGCAACGCGAAGAACCUUACCUGGUCUUGACAUAGUGAGAAUCCUGCAGAGAUGCGGGAGUGCCUUCGGGAAUUCACAUACAGGUGCUGCAUGGCUGUCGUCAGCUCGUGUCGUGAGAUGUUGGGUUAAGUCCCGCAACGAGCGCAACCCUUUUCCUUAUUUGCCAGCGGGUUAAGCCGGGAACUUUAAGGAUACUGCCAGUGACAAACUGGAGGAAGGCGGGGACGACGUCAAGUCAUCAUGGCCCUUACGACCAGGGCUACACACGUGCUACAAUGGUAGGUACAGAGGGUUGCUACACAGCGAUGUGAUGCUAAUCUCAAAAAGCCUAUCGUAGUCCGGAUUGGAGUCUGCAACUCGACUCCAUGAAGUCGGAA